GCUGCGCACUUCGGUCUUUUACGUCGGCCUUCGCGAGCGUCUGGGCGGGUGGUAGGUGAGUGGGUAUUGCGGGCUAGUAUCCGAGCAAAAGAUGGUGGCGCAGGCCGAGUUAAGAGCUUUAAUCCUGUGAAGACAUCUUAGUGAAGAGUUUAGAGUGCUGAGAGUUGAAAGCUUGCACGUGGGAAACGUGCGGCCGGACUGCCACAUGUACUGAGGUUGAGUCGUGACGGCCACAGGCUCCGAGUUUUGGCGUGAGGAACCGCUGAUCGGCCACGGGCGCCGAACUUGCUGGCCUCCGGCAUGUGCCUGAGCGGCGGCGGAAAAACCACCUUAAUUGGGGCGGAGGGUUAGUUUUAACAGCAAAGGGCCUUUACUAAAAUGGCGAAGGCCUUCCGUCGGCGUUGUUUUAAAAUGGGAAGCCUCGACCCUGUAUUGAAACUGAGCUGUUCGAAGGCGGCGUUGUGUGCAAUUCGGAUUAAUGAAGGGGAAGGGUUUUGUGUGGAAAAACGCCUUGGAGUGUGACAUUUCUGCGAGAAUGCUUAAAUACCGAUUUCCCGCAGGAACAAUGGCGCUGUCUUCAGUGGCACAGUGGAGCAGCUCUGAAGAUGCAAAGAUACACGAAAAAACUUCCAGAACAUCUGGGAGAAUAUUUAAUGGAAAAUCGCUUGGUUAAAACCUGACACUUUUAACAGCGUUCUGAGUGUGGACGAGUAGCCAGUGAAGAUAAUGAAUGUCGAAUGUGACUGACUAGCAGCUUCAUUUUGAAUGAGGGUCGCUGUCUGCCCAUUGAUAGAGGCCAGAUUGUCUUGGAAGUUCCAAAGUUGCAACGAUUUCUGGCUAGUGCCACGAGGUUUACUUGACUGUUGUGUGAAAAGCUGAUAAGAAAACCAUCCAGAAAAAAGCUCUUCGUUUUACAAACAUGAAAAUAAAACAUGUAAUUUUGGAUUAUGUUCCUUUUUGUUAUUACUUUUAAAUAGGUCCUGAAAUAACAUGGGGAGCAUUAAAUGGAAAAUCCACUAACCAGCCUUGUAAUCAAAUUACUGUGAGUGAAUGUUUCGGGUUUGUGCAGGGUACAAUGUAAGGGUUUUUGGAUCAGUGUAAGAGUGGAGAGACAGGAAUUAGAAGUAAUUGUUACUAAGCAAAUCAUGGAAUAUUUAGUUUUGAUGUAACUAUAAUUUUGAAAGCCUGGAUGCUUAAGUUGAGAAAUGGGGGAAUGAGAUACAGAAAAUAAGGAGCACAAUAGAAUAAUAAUAGCAGUUUAUUAAGUAUGGUCAUGAGGGAAGGUUACUGAUAAAACAAUCUGGUAAAGACAUUCAGGCUUGCUAAAAUCUAGGAAGAGGUCAUUUGGCAGGAUGGGUUACAUAAUGCUAUCUGAUACUACCAAAUAAAAUGAGAGAGAAGCCUUAGGCAUGUAACGUUUGGAGAUAGAAAAUGUACCUUCACUAUGAAGGUAGUGUGUGUAAGAUGGCAGUUGAAAGCAUUGCUUGUGUUUAUGUUUAUACCCUUGAUCUCUGAUGCCCUUACCUACCGUACUUAAAACUCUGUUAAUCAUUGUCUUUCUCCCCCUCCCACAACUUCUGCAUAAAAUUUUAAGAUCUGUGUUUCAUUAGUUCAAGAGUGCCUAGAAUAGGGCCAGGCACUGUUAUACAGUAUGUGGUAAAAGACUAUUGAGAUUCCAGUUUUCAAGGAAGAGUGCCAUUACCGUUUUGUUAAAGCUGGCAAACAAGACAAAGUUGUGAAAUAGACUGGUUGCUUUGGAGCCCUCUGACCGCUUUUCCUGUAGCUCCUUCUACCUCCCUUGCCUCCCAAUAGAUUUUUUAAUAUGUCACAU
Molecule: long non-coding RNA, 1831 nt
Organism: Homo sapiens (human)
Lineage: Eukaryota; Metazoa; Chordata; Mammalia; Primates; Hominidae
Gene: SNHG5
Product: small nucleolar RNA host gene 5
Source: Ensembl